RNAcentral lists this long non-coding RNA (2763 nucleotides) under Anas platyrhynchos platyrhynchos (common mallard). RNAcentral's name for it is "lncRNA (ENSAPLG00000030470.1)". The record is from RNAcentral. Lineage: Eukaryota; Metazoa; Chordata; Aves; Anseriformes; Anatidae.
UAAUAGUCAGACUGUCAGGGGCAAAAAGUCAAACUGGUCCAAAGAAGGAACAUGAAAAGAUCAUCAGAACAGUUAUAAAAACACAUUUGUAGGUGACUGAACUUAAUCACCCAAGUACUUUCUUACCAUGAGAUCCUCUUUUUCUUUAACUUUUAAAUCACUGAUGGUACAUCUUUCUUCCUGCAAAGCAUGAAAAAUUAGGGAGCACAGCUCCUGUCAACAUUAAUUACAGUUGUUAUGAAGUCAGAAGACUGUUGGGAAAAAGGCUCUUAAAAAGCAUUUGUAACUUGUAAAACAAGGACUGAUCUAUUGUUGCCACUAUGAGCCUCAAAUUUCAGAAGGCACCAUAAAUCUUAUGACUUGUGGAGCCCUGUUCUAUACAAAACAUCAUUUUGGCACCCUGGAAAAUCACCAUGCCUUUCAGUCUUCAGCUGUGGGCACCAGAAUAGAGUCAUAAAUUAUCUUCGGGCAUUUUUAUUUCCUGCCUCAUCAGGAUGAGUCCUCUGCUGUAUUUAGGCUUUCGAUUGCCUAAUUUGUAAACACUUUUCAUGAACUCUGUAAUUAAUUGGCAGGCAAGAUUACACACUGGCUGGAAGUAAUUGUAGAUUGCUCUUAAUUGUAAGAGCAUACUUUUGGUGGCUCGUUUAAAAUACAUAUGCAGAUUAAAGACAAAUAUAAACAGUAAUUAAUGUCUGAAUGCAAACAGUGUGCUGGUUUGGAAGGUGUGCCAUCAGAGUUCAUCCUGUUUUCCUCAGCCUCCUUACUCCCUGCCUGCCUUCAGGCUGGGCUACAGCAGCAUGGCUGCUGCACCCAAGCGAAGGCUCAGAGCAGAGGAGGGAGAGGAAGCAGCACUUGUACGUGGUCCUCCUUAACCUGCUGGCCACUCUUCUGUUGAUGGAGUCUGGGAUGCAGAUUGGCCUUCUGGACUGCAGGUGCAAACUGCUAGUUCCUGUUGAAUUUUUUGUCCACCAGAACCCCAAGUCCUUCUCUGUAGGGCUGCUAUCGAUGAGGUCUGAACCCAGUCUGCCUUCAUGUCUGGGAUUGCCUCAACCUAUGUGAAGCACUUUGCCUUGGCCUUCUUGAAUCUCAUUAGGUUCACAUGGGACCACUUUUCUAGUUUGUCUAGGUCACUCUGGAUGGCAUCCAUUCCUUCUCGUGUAUCAACUGCACCACUCAGCUUGGUGUCAUCUGCAAACUUGUUGAGGGUGCACUCAAUCCCACUUCUAUGUCAUUAAUGAAGAUGUUAAACAUCACUGGUCCCCAGAUGGACCCCUGAGAGACACCACUUGUCACCAGCCUCCACCGUGACAUACAACUGUUGACCGCAACUCUCUGGCUGCAGCCAUCCAGCCACUCCCAUGUUCACUGAAUUUUCCACCUUUCAAAUCCUUCUCUCUCCAAGUCACAGACAAGGAUGUUGUGUGGGACCGUGUCAAAGGCCUUUGAAAAGUCCAGGUGGUUGAUAUCUGUUGGUCUUCCCUUGUUGAUUCAUGCAGUUACUCCAUGAUAGAAGGCCACUGAAUUGGUCAGGCAUGAUUUACCUUUGGUGAAGCCAUGCCAGCUGUCUCAAAUCACCUCCUUGUCUUGCAUGUGCCUUAACUUGGUUUCCAGGAGGAUCUUUUCCAUGAUAUUGCCAGGCACAGAGGUGAGGCUCACUGAUCUAUAGCUCCCCAGGUCCUUAAAAAUGGGUGUGAUAUUUCCUUUUUUUUUUUAUUUAUUUAUUUUUUUUUUUCAGUCACAGGGGACUUCACCUGGCUGCCAGGACUUCUCAAAUAUGAUGGAGAGAGGCUUGGUAGCUACAUCAGCCUGUUCCCUCAGGACCCUGGGAUGCAUGGCAUCAGGCCCCAUAGACUUAUACCUUCCACUAGAUCAAGUUGCUCAAAGAUCUUCCUUGAAAUUCCUAGUCUUUAGUGGCUCUCUAUGAUUAUUGUCACUAAGAGCAUGAGAAAACAAGGCUUGUUUCAUCCUUAGCAGUGUUAGCCAUUGUAUUUUCUUAACGUUUUCUUCUACCUUUUAAAAACAUUCCCAGAUUUGAUUACACUGCUUCCCUGCACACACCCCUCUGAGAUAAGCAAGAAAAAGAAAGCUUCAGGCUUUGACAUUCCUGGCCUGCUUCUGCACCUUCUAACUCAUCCACUUAAUGACUAUAGUAACAUAUUGUCUAUUACACCAGAUUUUCAGCUGAUCUAAAUCAGCAAAGCUGCAGUGACUUUAAUGGUGAUAGGACAUUUUGUAGCAGCUGGAGAUGAGGCUCAGUGUAUUACCUAGACCAGACUUCCAUCAUAAUUAUCUAAUUUAUGCCAUUGAAAGUGUGCUAUAAGCAAGGUGUCUGAGCUAAUGGUGAAGAAGUAAUCAUAACACUUGAAUUUAAUGUUUUUGAAUACUACCAGUCUCAUCUAGCUGUUUUAUGGCUCCCAUUGCCAGUACCUCAGAACUCUAGCCUGUCUCGUGUUAUUGCUGGACUUAGCUUGCUCUAGAAGUGAUCAGGACUCCCAUAGGAUGCCAGAUUUUCAUUUUGAAAAACACUGAGCUAUGCUGAUUUAGACAGUGCAAUUCUAGGAGCUUUACUCAUACACUUUGUCAUAGAAAGCUUUUGCAGGAGGUUCUCAAACAGAAAGCCCUUGAGUAAAGCUAUAAUCCUGCCUUGGAGCAAGAGGCAAUAGACCUGUCAGUAAUACGGUGGCAUGGGAAAUGAUGCUGUAAUUAAAGUUUGCUCAGCUUUCCCUUAAUAAAUUUCUAAAAUAGAGGCUUUUUAUGCUAAUA